Molecule: ribosomal RNA, 497 nt
Filed under: uncultured bacterium
Lineage: Bacteria
Description: partial 16S ribosomal RNA
Rfam family: Bacterial small subunit ribosomal RNA
Source: RNAcentral
GAUGAACGCUGGCGGCGUGCCUAAUACAUGCAAGUCGAGCGAACGGACGAGAAGCUUUCUUCUCUGAUGUUAGCGGCGGACGGGUGAGUAACACGUGGAUAACCUACCUAUAAGACUGGGAUAACUUCGUGAAACCGGAGCUAAUACCGGAUAAUAUUUUGAACCGCAUGGUUCAAAAGUUAAAGACGGUCUUGCUGUCUCUUAUAGAUGGAUCCGCGCUGCAUUAGCUAGUUGGUAAGGUAACGGCUUACCAAGGCAACGAUGCAUAGCCGACCUGAGAGGAUGAUCGGCCACACUGGAACUGAGACACGGUCCAGACUCCUACGGGAGGCAGCAGUAGGGAAUAUUCCGCAAUGGGCGAAAGCCUGACGGAGCAACGCCGCGUGAGUGAUGAAGGUCUUCGGAUCGUAAAGCUCUGUUAUUAGGGAAGAACAGAUGUGUAAGUAACUGUGCACAUCUUGACGGUACCUAAUCAGAAAGCCACGGCUAACUACGUG